UAAAACGUGUAAGGAUAACGUUGCGUCAGCAACGGCCCGUAGGGCGAGGCGAAGCCGAGUCAUCCUGCACGACCCACCG
RNAcentral lists this small RNA (79 nucleotides) under Salmonella enterica subsp. enterica serovar Guinea. RNAcentral's name for it is "partial RtT sRNA". It matches the Rfam family "RtT RNA", at positions 48 to 130 of the family's 130-position model. From Rfam's summary of the family: This family represents a bacterial cis-regulatory element known as RtT RNA. The exact function of RtT is unknown although it is thought that it may be involved in changing the cellular response in relation to amino acid starvation. Lineage: Bacteria; Pseudomonadati; Pseudomonadota; Gammaproteobacteria; Enterobacterales; Enterobacteriaceae. The record is from RNAcentral.